Long non-coding RNA from Cervus elaphus (red deer), 215 nucleotides. RefSeq lists it as uncharacterized. Lineage: Eukaryota; Metazoa; Chordata; Mammalia; Artiodactyla; Cervidae. The record is from RefSeq and is a predicted model, not a curated record. The transcript has 3 exons.
CCGCCCUCAUACCCCUGUUGGUUACAGAGCAGGGAGGAAGAAGCUGAGUAAGCUUCAGUAUUGCAGAGGGGGCUCAAGAGAAGAGAGGAAACUGACACUGCUUUGUUGACAAUUGAGCCAGAUUUUUGUUGUUUUGUGAAAAUUGACAAGUUGCUGAAAAAGCAUUCAAAGCAGUAACGAGGUCAUGAGAAAAUCACAAUGGAAACAGGUUCCAG